GGGAUGAACAAACCUCAAAUGUAUCCGAUGUUACGCCAGUAGCGUGGCUGAGUAGACACGUAUGGAAGGAAUAAUCGCUGAAGGCAUCUAAGUGAGAAACACACUUGGAGAUAAGUGUUCUUUUAAGUAUAAACUGAGACUAAGAGAUAGAUAGGUUGGUGGUGUAAGUGUAGUGAUACAUUUAGCUGACCAAUACUAAUGAUACGUAGGCUUUUAAUA
RNAcentral lists this ribosomal RNA (219 nucleotides) under Acinetobacter baumannii. Its description in RNAcentral is "partial 23S ribosomal RNA". It matches the Rfam family "Bacterial large subunit ribosomal RNA", at positions 2694 to 2925 of the family's 2925-position model. The record is from RNAcentral. Lineage: Bacteria; Pseudomonadati; Pseudomonadota; Gammaproteobacteria; Moraxellales; Moraxellaceae.